Molecule: ribosomal RNA, 248 nt
Filed under: uncultured bacterium
Lineage: Bacteria
Description: partial 16S ribosomal RNA
Rfam family: Bacterial small subunit ribosomal RNA
Source: RNAcentral
UACAGAGGGUGCAAGCGUUGUUCGGAAUUAUUGGGCGUAAAGGGCGUGUAGGCGGUUUGCUAAGUCAUGUGUGAAAUCCCUCGGCUUAACCGAGGAACGACGCAUGAUACUGGCAAGCUAGAGUACGGAAGAGGCGAGUGGAAUUCCCGGUGUAGCGGUGAAAUGCGCAGAUAUCGGGAGGAACACCAAUUGCGAAGGCAGCUCGCUGGGACGUUACUGACGCUGAGACGCGAAAGCGUGGGGAGCAA